CGACCGGCGCACGGGGUGAGUAACACGGUAUCCAACCUACCGGUUAUUCCGGGAUAGCCUUUCGAAAGAAAGAUUAAUACCGGAUAGUAUAACGAGAAGGCAUCUUCUUGUUAUUAAAGAAUUUCGAUAACCGAUGGGGAUGCGUUCCAUUAGUUUGUUGGCGGGGUAACGGCCCACCAAGACAUCGAUGGAUAGGGGUUCUGAGAGGAAGGUCCCCCACAUUGGAACUGAGACACGGUCCAAACUCCUACGGGAGGCAGCAGUGAGGAAUAUUGGUCAAUGGACGAGAGUCUGAACCAGCCAAGUAGCGUGAAGGAUGACUGCCCUAUGGGUUGUAAACUUCUUUUAUAUGGGAAUAAAGUGAGCCACGUGUGGCUUUUUGUAUGUACCAUACGAAUAAGGAUCGGCUAACUCCGUGCCAGCAGCCGCGGUAAUACGGAGGAUCCGAGCGUUAUCCGGAUUUAUUGGGUUUAAAGGGAGCGUAGGCGGACUAUUAAGUCAGCUGUGAAAGUUUGCGGCUCAACCGUAAAAUUGCAGUUGAUACUGGUCGUCUUGAGUGCAGUAGAGGUAGGCGGAAUUCGUGGUGUAGCGGUGAAAUGCUUAGAUAUCACGAAGAACUCCGAUUGCGAAGGCAGCUUACUGGACUGUAACUGACGCUGAUGCUCGAAAGUGUGGGUAUCAAACAGGAUUAGAUACCCUGGUAGUCCACACAGUAAACGAUGAAUACUCGCUGUUUGCGAUAUACGGCAAGCGGCCAAGCGAAAGCAUUAAGUAUUCCACCUGGGGAGUAC
This 791-nucleotide ribosomal RNA is filed under the name uncultured bacterium. RNAcentral describes it as "bacterial SSU rRNA". It matches the Rfam family "Bacterial small subunit ribosomal RNA", at positions 92 to 883 of the family's 1533-position model. The record is from RNAcentral.